Molecule: long non-coding RNA, 1140 nt
Organism: Macadamia integrifolia
Lineage: Eukaryota; Viridiplantae; Streptophyta; Magnoliopsida; Proteales; Proteaceae
Exons: 3
Source: RefSeq, a predicted model, not a curated record
GACCAGACUCCACUACUCUAGAGAGAGAGAGAGAGAGAGACGGGGUUUCACUGUUUCAGUGGUGGGGAGUGGGGACUGGAGAAGAAAUCCACCAUCAAUUGCAGAGUUGUUCCCUUUCUUUGCUUCUUUUCGUGGAUUUUUGCUUCAAUCGGUUGAAGUCGCGAGCUUAGAAUCAGAAUCCGCGAAUUCGCCCUGCUCUCGAUUUCAGUUCGUGAAUCCACAUUCUUCGCUGGGGAGAAAGCUUUGCUUCAUAUGGGGUUGUCUUUUUAAGCUGCCAACUAGGUGUAAAGCACAUUUUCUCUAAUUUUGGAUUGCAUUGGGCUGAUCUCUUUCGUGUUGUUUUCAUUGCGAGACUGGCGAGUAUAUCGACUGCUUUUGGGGAUCUUCUAUUGGUUUUCCAUGGCGCUGGCUUCCUCAAAUCAUUCAUCCGGUGAACCCAACAAAGAUUGUCAUGACAACGAUUUCAUGAUGUGAAGAGUCGUUAUUUGACAGCUUGAAUGAUGGACCAGAUAAGGUAUCUGAGUUGAACAGAGAAUGGCAGAGGAGGCACGACCAAUUUCAUACGGUAGCCUUAUGAAUACAAGUGCACUGGCAUGUCUUCAUGAUGAUCAGAAAGGAAACUUGGUUGAAACAAUAGAGAACAGAGAGAAGCUUCAGAGUUUGUAUGGAACAGUGGUCUCUUUCAUCAAGUGAUGCAAGUAGUAUAUUUCAUAAUGACAUCAUAUACAGAAGUUCCAAAGAACAUGGUAUUCAUUUGUUGGGAAACUUCAAUUCAUCUGACUUUCCAAAUGAAAGUAAAUGCAACAGUCAAUUAGGAAGACACUCAGGCAACUUGAGUCCUUUCUUCUUGAAUGACCUGCAAUCAAGGUGCACUGGACAGUGGACAAGAAGACAGUUGAGCUUUUUUAGGGAUUUUUUUUUUCUUUCUGAAAUAUAUCAACACUUCCUAGAAAUAUAUAUAUAAUCAGGAAUUCUAUCAUAUUCUUGGCUAAUGUUAGAAUCCACUUACAUUUAAGAAAAUGUGACAGAGAAAAUAUAGUGAUGAACUUUAUGCAUUUGUAAUUCACAGAAAUUAGUGUAUAAAACAAUAUUGCUUUACACUUUUAUGUAUGAUAUGCAUAACUAUAGCUUUUUAAGCCA